Molecule: ribosomal RNA, 612 nt
Filed under: uncultured bacterium
Lineage: Bacteria
Description: bacterial SSU rRNA
Rfam family: Bacterial small subunit ribosomal RNA
Source: RNAcentral
CUUGCUCCUUGGGUGACGAGCGGCGGACGGGUGAGUAAUGCCUGGGGAUCUGCCCGAUAGAGGGGGAUAACUACGGGAAACUGUAGCUAAUACCGCAUAACGUCUACGGACCAAAGUGGGGGCUCUUCGGACCUCAUGCUAUCGGAUGAACCCAGGUGGGAUUAGCUAGUUGGUGAGGUAAUGGCUCACCAAGGCGACGAUCUCUAACUGGUUUGAGAGAAUGACCAGUCACACUGGAACUGAGACACGGUCCAGACUCCUACGGGAGGCAGCAGUGGGGAAUAUUGCACAAUGGGCGCAAGCCUGAUGCAGCCAUGCCGCGUGUGUGAAGAAGGCCUUCGGGUUGUAAAGCACUUUCAGCGGGGAGAAAGGGCUACUAGUUAAUACCUAGUGGCAUUGACGUUACUCGCAGAAGAAGCACCGGCUAACUCCGUGCCAGCAGCCGCGGUAAUACGGAGGGUGCAAGCGUUAAUCGGAAUUACUGGGCGUAAAGCGCACGCAGGCGGUUUGUUAAGUCAGAUGUGAAAUCCCCGAGCUCAACUUGGGAACUGCAUUUGAAACUGGCAAGCUAGAGUCUUGUAGAGGGGGGUAGAAUUCCAGGUGUAGCGGUGA